This 486-nucleotide long non-coding RNA is filed under the name Bos indicus x Bos taurus (hybrid cattle). RNAcentral's name for it is "lncRNA (ENSBIXG00005002653.1)". The record is from RNAcentral. Lineage: Eukaryota; Metazoa; Chordata; Mammalia; Artiodactyla; Bovidae.
ACAGUGGUAAAAUGAUAUUUGGUUUCAACUUUUUAGGGACCAAAGAAAUAAUGGUGGUGGUGGUUUAGUUGCUAAGUUGUAUAGAUUCUUGCAACCCCAUGGUAGCCUGCCAGGCUCCUCUGUCCAUGGGAUUCUCCAGAGAAGAAUACAAGAGUGGGUACCAUUUCCUUCUCCAGGAGAUCUUCUUGACCCAAGAAUUCAACCUGAGUCUCCUGCAUGGAGGCAGAUUCUUUACCAACUGAGCUACAACGGAAGCCUCAAUAAAAAGAAAUAAUACCUAGAAGGAAAUGGCCCAGGCAGAAAGAAUUAAAGAGAUGGCAGCACCCUGGCAAAGAAAGGAAGAAAAAGAAGAAAAGGAGAAGAAAGGAAAGAAGGAAACAAGAGAGAGAAAAAAGGAUGGGGAAGAACUUUUUUUUUACUUUGAAUAUCCUGUGCAUUUAGCCAUUAUUGGAAAAGGAAUGAAGCAGAGCAAAGGCUAAUAGAGUU